This 343-nucleotide ribosomal RNA is filed under the name Salmonella enterica. RNAcentral's name for it is "partial 23S ribosomal RNA". It matches the Rfam family "Bacterial large subunit ribosomal RNA", at positions 507 to 751 of the family's 2925-position model. Lineage: Bacteria; Pseudomonadati; Pseudomonadota; Gammaproteobacteria; Enterobacterales; Enterobacteriaceae. The record is from RNAcentral.
GGGAAAGGCGAAAAGAACCCCGGCGAGGGGAGUGAAAAAGAACCUGAAACCGUGUACGUACAAGCAGUGGGAGCCCCACCACUAAGCCAGUGGUGAACUCCACAUACGCAUCCUUUGCUGAGGAUACGGUUAACGGAGCGAAAGCGACGUUCAACCGCAAAAGAAGCAGAGGGGGCUUAGUGGUGGGGUGACUGCGUACCUUUUGUAUAAUGGGUCAGCGACUUAUAUUCUGUAGCAAGGUUAACCGUAUAGGGGAGCCGGAGGGAAACCGAGUCUUAACCGGGCGUUAAGUUGCAGGGUAUAGACCCGAAACCCGGUGAUCUAGCCAUGGGCAGGUUGAAGG